GAUGAACGCUGGCGGCGUGCCUAAUACAUGCAAGUCGAGCGAACGGACGAGAAGCUUGCUUCUCUGAUGUUAGCGGCGGACGGGUGAGUAACACGUGGAUAACCUACCUAUAAGACUGGGAUAACUUCGGGAAACCGGAGCUAAUACCGGAUGAUAUUUUGAACCGCAUGGUUCAAAAGUGAAAGACGGUCUUGCUGUCACUUAUAGAUGGAUCCGCGCUGCAUUAGCUAGUUGGUAAGGUAACGGCUUACCAAGGCAACGAUGCAUAGCCGACCUGAGAGGGUGAUCGGCCACACUGGAACUGAGACACGGUCCAGACUCCUACGGGAGGCAGCAGUAGGGAAUCUUCCGCAAUGGGCGAAAGCCUGACGGAGCAACGCCGCGUGAGUGAUGAAGGUCUUCGGAUCGUAAAACUCUGUUAUUAGGGAAGAAAAUAUAUGUAAGUAACUGUGCACAUCUUGACGGUACCUAAUCAGAAAGCCACGGCUAACUACGUG
Molecule: ribosomal RNA, 497 nt
Filed under: uncultured bacterium
Lineage: Bacteria
Description: partial 16S ribosomal RNA
Rfam family: Bacterial small subunit ribosomal RNA
Source: RNAcentral